Oncorhynchus kisutch (coho salmon) is the source of this 3751-nucleotide long non-coding RNA. Lineage: Eukaryota; Metazoa; Chordata; Actinopteri; Salmoniformes; Salmonidae. The record is from Ensembl.
UGACCCAUCUUCCAGCACAGUAGGUGGCGGUAAUGCACCAUUAACGCUGGAGGCCAAACGUCGAUUAAUCCCACCGAAGAAGAACUGCUCAUUGUCGCGCAUGCGUUCCUCGAUGUAUGCCAAGGCACAAAAGUGGCGCUAUAUCGUUUCAACCUCUACUCAGGUGCUGGACAAGCCCCUGGUAACCUCGCAGGAAGUGUUCCAGUGCACGCAGUAGGUGUCCUACCCAUCGGGUCCCGCCAAUUCUGGUGGGCACCAGUGGUGUGUGCCCAAGAGCCUGGAAGCUGGUUACCAGUUUUGCCCGGUUCAGUGGACUGGUGUGGUGGUAGCAGCCUAAAUGAUGGAUGGGGAACACCAGGAAGAGAAGCCUUCACAUGAGAAAGAAAAUGCUCUACACAAUGAAGAGAAGACUUCAUGUGAUGUGGAGAAGACUUUAUGUGACAUGGAGAGAGCUUUGUGUGACAUAAAGAAGAGUGCUGAAGAGAGCAUUUCAAGUAAUGAGGAGAACAGUUCAGAUGAUGAGGUUGGACAAAGACUGGAUUCAAAAGUCCCAAGUGGCUCAGAGCCUCUUCCAUCUAAUGCAGAACACCCCUGCGAUAAUGAAUCUGAGCUGUUGCCACAAAAAACCUCCCAAGCUAAAAAACCUCAACGCAAAAAAUUCGCGCCACGGAAAGGUACAAGGUCAAGCUUACGUUCUAGCACAAAAAUGACAGUCAGCGCAUGUAGUAUGACAGAUGAUGGUAAAAGAAAAUGGGACAAAAAACACUUCUGCCUGUAUUGCAAUGAACCACACCACAAAAUUGCAAGACAUUUAGAAAGGAUACACGCCGAAGAAGCAGCUGUCGCUCAUGCUAUGAGCUUCCCUAAACUCUCCAAAAUCAGGUCUCUUUUGCUUGACCAACUCCGUAACAAAGGCAACUAUCAAGUUCUUCAAAGUGGAGAUGGUGAAAUUGUGACUAAGGAUAGACCCUCUUACAAUGGUGUUUCUGUGCGUGACUGCCUGCCCUGCCAACACUGCUUAGCUUUUUUCAACAAAAUAGAUUUAUGGAAGCAUGAGGGCUCAUGUAAAGCCAGAAAAGGACAAGAUGAAAAGAGGGGAGGAAAAAGAGUGCGGGUCCAAGCUGCAUCCUCUCGACUUCUUCCACUGCCUGUCUACUCUACUGGAGGGUGUGAAGAAAUAAUACACAAUAUGAAUCAAGAUGACAUCUUAUGCCACAUCAAAAAUGAUCCCCUGAUAUGUAAAUAUGGCAAUGCACUAUCUGCAAAGCAUGGCCAUGCCAAGUCACAGUUUACAUACAUUGGAUCAAAAAUGAGGGAAUUGGCUAGAUUUGUACUUACUGUAAAUGAGAUGGACUGUGGUGUCCAAUAUCUGCAUGAAGUAUGUGUACCAUCCAAAUUCAAAUUGGCCGUUCAUGCUGCCAGGAAAAUGAGUGGUUUUGAUCCUGCCUCCGACAGGUACAAGACCCAAUCUCUUCCUUUAAAGAUCGGCUAUUCCUUGAAAAGAGCUACUGAAAUAGCUUUUGGGGAGAGUCGUAUGACAGAGGACCGUGAUGCAGAGGCACAAGCCAGAAGGUUCAUUGAGCUUCUUGAAAACGAUUGGAAUAACUGUUUUUCCGGUUUGUCCCUCAGCGCUGUGCCUCAGUGUGAUGAAGUUGAUGUGUCUUCACUAACUGAGGAUUUGAUUAAACUUCAGAAGUUUCUCAAGGUUGCAGAGGACACAGCAAAGAGAGAAUUGCUCGAGAGCCCCACCAACGCUGUCUGGAAAAAGCUCAAUGAAACUCUUCUUGCCGAAAUAGCUCUCUUCAACAGAAAAAGGACAGGAGAGGUUGCGAAAAUGCUGUUGGAAACAUACACAAACAGAAAGAAAUCUCCAGCUAGCGCAGACAUUUUCAAUAGCCUCUCAAGGCUGGAACAGGAGCUUGGUGACGACAAAUUAACCAGGGUGGAAAUAGAAGGUAAAAAUGGUAGAACAAUGCCGGUCCUACUAACGGCGAGGAUGAUCUCAUCUCUUGAGAUCCUAAUUGCAAACCGAGACAAAGUUGGUGUGUCAAAGGACAACCCUUAUGUCUUUGCACGGAGCCCAGAUGCAGCAAGCUACGUCAGAGGGUCUGACUGUUUGAGGAAAUUUGCUCAUGAGUGUGAUGCAAAGAAUCCUGAAAGUCUGAUCCAUGCUACAGUGAGGAAAGAGGUUGCUAUCCAUUGCCAAAUUCUGAACUUAAAUGAAAGUGAAUUGGAUCAGGUGGCAAAAUUAUUGGGACAUGACACCCAGGUCCACAAAGAGUACUACAGACUGUCUGAAAACGCAGCACAUCUAGCAGAAAUCAGCAAAUUGCUGCUUGCAAUGGAUCAGGUUCCAGUGGUAAUUCCAGGACCAUCUGAGGAAAGGAUUGUUUCACCUACAUAUGGGGCAUAUUCUGCAGGGACAUAUUCAGCGGGAACCGAUUCUGCGAGGGCGUAUCCUGCUGGCACAUAUACCACUGGGUCAUCUUAUCCUACAGCGACAUAUUCCGCAAAGUCAUAUACAUUGGGGGCACAGCCUUCAAGGUCAUAUCAUGCUGGGACAUAUCCUGAGAAGUCAUAUCCUUCUGGAUCACAUUCUGCAAGGUCAUAUCAUGCUGGGACAGAUUGUGCAAGGGUGUAUCCUACUGGGAUAAAUCCUGCUAGAUCAUAUUCUGUGACACAUCCUGCAGAGACCUAUCCAGCAGCUUCGUAUGCUGCUGGGACACAUCUUGCAAGUUCAUAUCCUGCAAGUCCUUAUGACCUAUCAUCUCCUGCAAGAUCAUAUACUUCGGGGACAAAUCCUGCAAAAUCAUAUCCUGAAGAGACAUAUCCUAUGGGGACAUAUCGUGCAGGGACACAUCUUGCGGGUUCACAACUUGCAAGGUCAUAUUCUGCCGGAACAUAUCCUGCACAGACACUUCCAGCGCGUACUGUUAUUACGCCAACACUUAAUGCACAGACACUUCCUGUUGGGGCAGUGCCUGCGGUUGCCGUUCCUUUGGGUGCAGUUCCUUUGGGGACAGGUUCUGUGGGGACAGAUAAGGUGGGCACAGUGUGGAAACAGAGGAUGUGGAGUGAUGCAGCUAAGGCUGCGGUGAACCGUCAGAUGGGACACUUUAUCUCAAUGAUGGAGGUUCCAGGUAAACAGGACUGUGAAGUUUGCCUGCACAAUGAACCAGCACUAAGAGACAGGACAUGGAGGGACAUCAAAAACUAUGUGCACAACACAGUAAAAUCUAUAAAACGAAAGAAUGGCCUUACAAGAGUGGACCCCACAAAACAGACAAAGAAAGGAGCAGCAAAGAAACAAAAAGAGGCGAAGCGUGCUAAAGAAUGGGUUGGUGGAACAAUGGCAGUACCUGCAGUGGGUCAAGAAGGCAGACUUGAGGCAGGUCCUGUGGCAACACCAAGGAAACAGAAGAUAUGGAGUAAUGAGGCUCAGGCUGCGGUCAGGCGGCAGCUAGGAGACUUCACUAAACUGAUGAAGAUUCCAGGUAAAAAGGAAUGUGAUGCAUGUCUUGCAGCUGAACCAGCUCUGCAAGGCAGGACAUGGAAAGAUGUAAAAAACUAUGUGCGUAAUACAUUAAUGACAAUGUGCAGGAGGCAUAUUUCAGGCAAACAAAACAUGGACCAUGAAAAACCAAGUCCAAGGACACCGAAACCAGGGGUCCAACAAAAUCCAGGGGUGCAUCAGAAACCAGGGACGCUGUUGGGACUUCCAGAAGAUCCUCCUGUUUAUCUGUAUUUAUGA